CUCGUAGGCGGUUUGAUAAGUCCUGUGUGAAAUCCCUUGGCUCAACCAAGGAAUGGCGCAGGAUACUGUCAUACUUGAGGCCGGGAGAGGGAAGCGGAAUUCCCAGUGUAGCGGUGAAAUGCGUAGAUAUUGGGAGGAACACCGGUGGCGAAGGCGGCUUCCUGGACCGGUUCUGACGCUCAAGAGCGAAAGCCAGGGGAGCAAACAGGAUUAGAUACCCUGGUAGUCCUGGCUGUAAACGAUGGGCGCUUGGUGUUGCGGGUAUCGACCCCUGCAGUGCCGGAGCUAACGCAUUAAGCGCCCCGCCUGGGGAGUACGGUCGCAAGGCUGAA
This 332-nucleotide ribosomal RNA is filed under the name uncultured Acidobacteriota bacterium. RNAcentral's name for it is "bacterial SSU rRNA". It matches the Rfam family "Bacterial small subunit ribosomal RNA", at positions 568 to 898 of the family's 1533-position model. The record is from RNAcentral. Lineage: Bacteria; Pseudomonadati; Acidobacteriota.